Molecule: long non-coding RNA, 612 nt
Organism: Micropterus salmoides (largemouth bass)
Lineage: Eukaryota; Metazoa; Chordata; Actinopteri; Centrarchiformes; Centrarchidae
Exons: 2
Source: RefSeq, a predicted model, not a curated record
CUCUGCUGUACACUGGAAUGGGGUAAGUACUGGACAGACCCUUGAUGAGCUGGAGUCUUGAGUCUCAACAGCUUGGGUUAUCGCUGCCAUGCAAUCUGAUGCCACUUCCUCUGUACACUGCUUAAUAAUUUCCUCAGUACUUACAGGCAUUCUUGACAGACUGUCAGCAUCCACAUUUUCCUUACCUGGACAGUAUCGGAUGGUAAAAUGGAAGUCUGCAAGCUCCGCCACCCAUCUGCAUCCAGUUGCAUUAAGCUUGGCACAUGACAAGACAUAGGUCUCUCUGCGCAGUCGAUGGACCACCACACAGUAUCUUCCACCCUGGCUGUGGAUGUGGGGGGUUGAAUGAUGCUCGGGGACGUCUAUCUGGGACAGCUGGCCCUCAUCACAUUCAUCCCAGCAGUGCCUCCAAAAUGUUACACCCUUGAAAGGGGACAUAUUAAUAAGGAAUCUUGGACACGAUGCCUUCUUUAAAUCAACUUCAUUGAGAAUGAGGUACUGCAGCCAAGAGCUCCCCCUUCUGACAUCUGUAGGCAUGACAACUAAACGGCAACCUGUCCUUCUUCAGGGAUCAAUUGUUUUUGUUAAUAAACUAGUUUGUAAUUAUUUUAA